Long non-coding RNA from Spinacia oleracea (spinach), 744 nucleotides. RefSeq lists it as uncharacterized. The record is from RefSeq and is a predicted model, not a curated record. The transcript is spliced from 5 exons. Lineage: Eukaryota; Viridiplantae; Streptophyta; Magnoliopsida; Caryophyllales; Amaranthaceae.
UUGAAAAAAAAAUCGAUUACCCAAAUCAGUAACAUCAUUCAGCCCAAUAUCUCCUUCUCUCUCUCUCUCCUCAGAACCUUCAACGCCAAAACCUUCAACCGCCGCCGCAUCAACCACCCUUCUAAAACUCCUCCCAAGUUCUCUAUGCUCCGCAUCAACCACCCUUACAUGUUGUGUAAUUUGGUAACUCAUCAAUUCUUUCUCCCUUAAACUUCAAUUCCCGAGAAUCUGAGAUUUUUCAAGAAUAGAGAAUGAUUGGUGGUUUUGCUUAUACUCCGUACCGGCCGAAAAGAGGACAAUGGGUAUUAAGGGCAAGGAACAAGGGGAAGUAGAAAUGGGCAGAGGGGAUAUGCUAAUGGUCUAUUUCAAUUCAUGGUUGCUUAUUUGGGAGGAGAUGAUUUAGCGGUGAAAGAUGAUUACAAGUAGGAGUUUUUAGCCCAUUUUGCGCUGACGAGUUUGAUAUCGUGUAGUUGUUUUUCCAUAUGGAUGAAGAGCAUCAAGUGGAAUAAAAAUGGGACUAUGCAAGCAAGCUACCAAUUUGCACAACGGGACGUCAAACACAACCGUCAGAGCAACAACGAAGGAUUAUCUUAUUGUGAAUGUAGCUGUAAGAUAUUUCAGCACAGAUUCGUAGGUUCUCCAUAGAAAUUUGAAUUUCCCUGAUUUCAGUGUAGUCAUUACUUUGAGCUAGAAUUAAAUAUUUAGUCUGUAUUCCUCAGCUUCUGUUUUAGAACACAAUUCUUA